UAGGACUUCAUCUACAUAAUGCUUACCCAUG
RNAcentral lists this non-coding RNA (31 nucleotides) under Rattus norvegicus (Norway rat). The record is from RNAcentral. Lineage: Eukaryota; Metazoa; Chordata; Mammalia; Rodentia; Muridae.